GUACCCAAAGAAUAAGCACCGGCUAAAUUUGUGCCCGCAGCCGCGGUAAUUCGAAGGGUGCCAACGUUUCUUGGAAUUUCUGGGGGUAAAGCGUGGGUAGGUGGUUUUUUAAAUCCGUUGUGAAAACCCCGGGCUCCACCUGGGAAAUGCAGUGGAUAAUGGGCGAGUAGAGUGUGGUAGAGGGUAGCGGAAUUCUCGGUGUAGCAGUGAAAAGGGUAGAGAUCAGGAGGAACCUCCAUGGGGAAGGCAGCCCCCCGGGCCAACACUGACCAUGAGGCAGGAAAAGGUGGGGAGCAAACCAGAUUAGAUACCCCGGUAGUCCCCCCCCUAAACGAUGCGAACUGGACGUUGGGUGCCAUUUGGCUCGCAGUAUCGAAGCUAACGCGUUAAGUUGGCCGCCUGGGGAGUACGGUCGCAAGAUUGAAACUCAAAGGAAUUGACGGGGGCCCGCACAAGCGGUGGAGCAUGUGGUUUAAUUCGAAGCAACGCGAAGAACCUUACCUGGCCUUGACAUGUUGAGAACUUUCCAGAGAUGGAUUGGUGCCUUCGGGAACUCGGACACAGGUGCUGCA
RNAcentral lists this ribosomal RNA (572 nucleotides) under Stenotrophomonas maltophilia. Its description in RNAcentral is "bacterial SSU rRNA". It matches the Rfam family "Bacterial small subunit ribosomal RNA", at positions 475 to 1045 of the family's 1533-position model. The record is from RNAcentral. Lineage: Bacteria; Pseudomonadati; Pseudomonadota; Gammaproteobacteria; Lysobacterales; Lysobacteraceae.